GACGAACGCUGGCGGCGUGCCUAAUACAUGCAAGUCGAGCGCUGAAGGAUGGUGCUUGUACCCACUGGAUGAGCGGCGAACGGGUGAGUAACGCGUGGGUAAUCUGCUUUUUAUUGGGGGACAACAUCGGGAAACGACUGCUAAUACCGCAUCAUAACAUUAAACACAAGAUUUAAGUUUGAAAGAUGCAUUUGCAUCACUCAAGAAUGAUUCCGCGUUGUAUUAGCUAGGUGGGUAGGUAAAGGCCCACCAAGGCGAAGGUACCUAGCCGACCUGAGAGGGUGAUCGGCCACAAUGGGACUGGGACACCGCCCCAGCUCCUAAGGGAGGGAGCAGGAGGGAAACUUUGGAAAAGGAGGGAAGUCUGACCGAGCAAAGACGGGUGGGGGAAGGAGGGUCUCGGGUCGGAAAACUCCGUUGGUAGAGAAGAAAGAUGAUCAGGGUAAAACGCUGAUGUAGUGACGGUAACUACACAAAAAGGAACGGCUAACUACGUG
RNAcentral lists this ribosomal RNA (497 nucleotides) under uncultured bacterium. RNAcentral's name for it is "partial 16S ribosomal RNA". It matches the Rfam family "Bacterial small subunit ribosomal RNA", at positions 28 to 507 of the family's 1533-position model. The record is from RNAcentral.